UGCAAGUCGAACGAUCCUUCGGGAUAGUGGCGGACUGGUGAGUAACGCGUGGGAAUCUGCCCUCAGGAGGGGGAUAACGGCUGGAAACGGCCGCUAAUACCCCAUAUGCCGAGAGGUGAAAUGAAUUUCGCCUGAGGAUGAGCCCGCGUCUGAUUAGCUAGUUGGUGGGGUAAAGGCCUACCAAGGCAACGAUCAGUAGCUGGUCUGAGAGGAUGAUCAGCCACACUGGGACUGAGACACGGCCCAGACUCCUACGGGAGGCAGCAGUGGGGAAUUUUCCGCAAUGGGCGAAAGCCUGACGGAGCAACGCCGCGUGAGGGAUGAAGGCCUCUGGGCUGUAAACCUCUUUUCUCAAGGAAGAAGACCUGACGGUACUUGAGGAAUAAGCCACGGCUAAUUCCGUGCCAGCAGCCGCGGUAAUACGGGAGUGGCAAGCGUUAUCCGGAAUUAUUGGGCGUAAAGCGUCCGCAGGCGGCCUUGUAAGUCUGUUGUUAAAGCGUGGAGCUCAACUCCAUUUAAGCAAUGGAAACUACAAGGCUGGAGUGUGGUAGGGGCAGAGGGAAUUCCCGGUGUAGCGGUGAAAUGCGUAGAUAUCGGGAAGAACACCAGUGGCGAAGGCGCUCUGCUGGGCCAUAACUGACGCUCAUGGACGAAAGCCAGGGGAGCGAAAGGGAUUAGAUACCUCUGUAGUCCUGGCCGUAAACGAUGAACACUAGGUGUCGGGGGAAUCGACCCCCUCGGUGUCGUAGCCAACGCGUUAAGUGUUCCGCCUGGGGAGUACGCACGCAAGUGUGAAACUCAAAGGAAUUGACGGGGGCCCGCACAAGCGGUGGAGUAUGUGGUUUAAUUCGAUGCAACGCGAAGAACCUUACCAGGGUUUGACAUCCUGCGAACCCCUGAGAAAUCGGGGGGUGCCUUCGGGAGCGCAGAGACAGGUGGUGCAUGGCUGUCGUCAGCUCGUGUCGUGAGAUGUUGGGUUAAGUCCCGCAACGAGCGCAACCCACGUCUUUAGUUGCCAGCAUUCAGUUGGGCACUCUAGAGAGACCGCCGGUGAUAAACCGGAGGAAGGUGUGGAUGACGUCAAGUCAUCAUGCCCCUUACAUCCUGGGCUACACACGUACUACAAUGCUACGGACAAAGGGCAGCAAGCUCGCGAGAGUUAGCAAAUCCCAUAAACCGUGGCUCAGUUCAGAUCGUAGGCUGCAACUCGCCUACGUGAAGGAGGAAUCGCUAGUAAUCGCAGGUCAGCAUACUGCGGUGAAUACGUUCCCGGGCCUUGUACACACCGCCCGUCCCACCAUGGAAGUUGGCCAUGCCCGAAGUCGUUACUCCAACCCUUGUGGAGGAGGACGCCGAAGGUGGGGCUGAUGACUGG
Molecule: ribosomal RNA, 1375 nt
Filed under: metagenome
Description: bacterial SSU rRNA
Rfam family: Bacterial small subunit ribosomal RNA
Source: RNAcentral